AACAUGAUAGUACGGCGAGUGAGCGGCAACAGCUCAAUUUGAAAUCUGGCUCUUUUAGAGUCCGAGUUGUAAUUUGCAGAGGGCGCUUUGGCUUUGGCAGCGGUCCAAGUUCCUUGGAACAGGACGUCACAGAGGGUGAGAAUCCCGUACGUGGUCGCUGGCUAUUGCCGUGUAAAGCCCCUUCGACGAGUCGAGUUGUUUGGGAAUGCAGCUCUAAAUGGGAGGUACAUUUCUUCUAAAGCUAAAUAUUGGCCAGAGACCGAUAGCGCACAAGUAGAGUGAUCGAAAGAUGAAAAGCACUUUGGAAAGAGAGUCAAACAGCACGUGAAAUUGUUGAAAGGGAAGCGCUUGCAGCCAGACUUGCUUACAGUUGCUCAUCCGGGUUUCUACCCGGUGCACUCUUCUGUAGGCAGGCCAGCAUCAGUUUGGGCGGUAGGAUAAAGGUCUCUGUCACGUACCUCCUUUCGGGGAGGCCUUAUAGGGGAGACGACAUACUACCAGCCUGGACUGAGGUCCGCGCAUCUGCUAGGAUGCUGGCGUAAUGGCUGUAAGCGGCCCGUCUUAAAAAACGGACCAG
This 577-nucleotide ribosomal RNA is filed under the name Alternaria alternata. Its description in RNAcentral is "partial large subunit ribosomal RNA". It matches the Rfam family "Eukaryotic large subunit ribosomal RNA", at positions 68 to 669 of the family's 3401-position model. The record is from RNAcentral. Lineage: Eukaryota; Fungi; Ascomycota; Dothideomycetes; Pleosporales; Pleosporaceae.